RNAcentral lists this ribosomal RNA (492 nucleotides) under uncultured bacterium. RNAcentral describes it as "partial 16S ribosomal RNA". It matches the Rfam family "Bacterial small subunit ribosomal RNA", at positions 30 to 507 of the family's 1533-position model. The record is from RNAcentral.
AUUGAACGCUGGCGGCAUGCUUUACACAUGCAAGUCGAACGGUAACAGGCCUUCGGGUGCUGACGAGUGGCGAACGGGUGAGUAAUGCAUCGGAACGUGCCCAGAGGUGGGGGAUAACGCAGCGAAAGCUGUGCUAAUACCGCAUGUGAUCUGAGGAUGAAAGCGGGGGGCCAGGCAGCAAUGUUUGGCCUCGCGCCUUUGGAGCGGCCGAUGUCAGAUUAGGUAGUUGGUGGGGUAAAGGCCUACCAAGCCGACGAUCUGUAGCUGGUCUGAGAGGACGACCAGCGACACUGGGACUGAGACACGGCCCAGACUCCUACGGGAGGCAGCAGUGGGGAAUUUUGGACAAUGGGCGCAAGCCUGAUCCAGCAAUGCCGCGUGCGGGAAGAAGGCCUUCGGGUUGUAAACCGCUUUUGUACGGAACGAAAAGGCUCUGGCUAAUACCUGGGGCUGAUGACGGUACCGUAAGAAUAAGCACCGGCUAACUACGUG